GUGGGGAAUCUUCCGCAAUGGACGAAAGUCUGACGGAGCGACGCCGCGUGAGUGAAGAAGGCCUUCGGGUCGUAAAGCUCUGUCAUCAGGGACGAACGGCCGGUGGAGUGGAAAGCCACCGGAUUGACGGUACCUGAGAAGGAAGCCACGGCUAACUACGUGCCAGCAGCCGCGGUAAUACGUAGGUGGCAAGCAUUGUCCGGAAUUAUUGGGCGUAAAGCGCGCGCAGGUGGGAUCUUAAGUCCAUUUUUAAAGUUCGGAGCUCAACUCCGUGAUGGGAUGGAAACUGGGAUUCUUGAGUACCGGAGAGGAAAGCGGAAUUCCCCGUGUAGCGGUGAAAUGCGUAGAUAUGGGGAGGAACACCAGUGGCGAAGGCGGCUUUCUGGACGGUGUCUGACACUGAGGCGCGAAAGCCAGGGGAGCGAACGGGAUUAGAUACCCGGGUAGUCC
Molecule: ribosomal RNA, 450 nt
Filed under: uncultured bacterium
Lineage: Bacteria
Description: partial 16S ribosomal RNA
Rfam family: Bacterial small subunit ribosomal RNA
Source: RNAcentral